This 464-nucleotide ribosomal RNA is filed under the name uncultured bacterium. Its description in RNAcentral is "partial 16S ribosomal RNA". It matches the Rfam family "Bacterial small subunit ribosomal RNA", at positions 28 to 503 of the family's 1533-position model. The record is from RNAcentral.
GACGAACGCUGGCGGCGUGCUUAACACAUGCAAGUCGAACGGAAAGGCCCUGCUUUUGUGGGGUGCUCGAGUGGCGAACGGGUGAGUAACACGUGAGUAACCUGCCCUUGACUUUGGGAUAACUUCAGGAAACUGGGGCUAAUACCGGAUAGGAGCUCCUGCUGCAUGGUGGGGGUUGGAAAGUUUCGGCGGUUGGGGAUGUACUCGCGGCUUAUCAGCUUGUUGGUGGGGUAGUGGCUUACCAAGGCUUUGACGGGUAGCCGGCCUGAGAGGGUGACCGGCCACAUUGGGACUGAGAUACGGCCCAGACUCCUACGGGAGGCAGCAGUGGGGAAUAUUGCACAAUGGGCGGAAGCCUGAUGCAGCAACGCCGCGUGCGGGAUGACGGCCUUCGGGUUGUAAACCGCUUUCGCCUGUGACGAAGCGUGAGUGACGGUAAUGGGUAAAGAAGCACCGGCUAACUA